ACGUUAGCGGCGGACGGGUGAGUAACACGUGGGUAACCUACCUAUAAGACUGGGAUAACUUCGGGAAACCGGAGCUAAUACCGGAUAAUAUUUCGAACCGCAUGGUUCGAUAGUGAAAGAUGGUUUUGCUAUCACUUAUAGAUGGACCUGCGCCGUAUUAGCUAGUUGGUAAGGUAACGGCUUACCAAGGCGACGAUACGUAGCCGACCUGAGAGGGUGAUCGGCCACACUGGAACUGAGACACGGUCCAGAAUCCUACGGGAGGCAGCAGCC
This 273-nucleotide ribosomal RNA is filed under the name uncultured Staphylococcus sp. RNAcentral describes it as "partial 16S ribosomal RNA". It matches the Rfam family "Bacterial small subunit ribosomal RNA", at positions 89 to 355 of the family's 1533-position model. The record is from RNAcentral. Lineage: Bacteria; Bacillati; Bacillota; Bacilli; Caryophanales; Staphylococcaceae.